UAAGAAUAAGUUUCUUACAUUCUCUAUUUCCUCUUUGUCUCCAUAAUCUCUAUAAUCCUAAUUCAUAUGUUUAUACUUUAUACAUUGUUGCUAUUAGGUCGUUGUUUCACAACACGUUAUCAGCACGAAAGUGCUCUAUGUCCUAAAUCAAUCUCGCACGCUGAGAAAGCAGCCAAAUAAUUAUCCAAAAAGAUGAAGGUAUGAUGCUUCAUAAAAUCCCAUAUAGCAAUUUUUAUAUUUCAUUACAUGUUAAAUAAUGAAGCAACACACACUACAAUACAUAUUUUAUAAUAACUGUUGUCACAAAACAAUUUGAGAAUAGAUACUUAACGUAUUACAUGAUCUCUUUUUCUAACUUUAUUUAUAGUCACUAUAUUUGCUUUUGAUGAUUAUAUGACUAAUUUAGCCACACAUAUUCAUAAUACGAUAAUUCUUGUUGUUUACCAAAUGUUCCACACUAACUACAUUUAUAGCAUAAAUUUUUUACAGCAUACGAAAUCAUGAUUAAAAAAAAACAACAUACUAUGUAAUUUAGAUAUAUUACAAUUCUUUUCAUAUAUUUAUAUAUUACAUAAUAUAAUUUAGUCAUAUCACGCUUAUGCUACCAUUUGCAUUAAUUUAUCAAAGAUUUUAGUGUGAUGCUUCCAUUAGUUAGUUGCUCAUUUUGUUCAAUUCAUAACUUUUGUUAUUUUAGCGUUGUACCUGCUUUACAAAUUAUCAAACCACUAAAAUCCUUAUAUGGUUUUAAUUUUAUGAACUAAAGAAUUAUUAUCUAUCAAUUAAUACUUUUAAUAAACCCAAUUAAUUUAUUUUUAUUGGUGAUCCCGUGCAGUCUUUUACUUUUAAUUUAGAUGAAAAUAGAUUUCUGUUUGUCGGGUUUACUGCCACUACCAAGCAAACCCAAUUUCACACUGUCUAGUGGAACCCAUUUGUCAUUGGUCAUCUAACAGUCUUCAAAAUGAACCAAUAAUUUUACAAAUAUAAUUAUUAUAUGACUAUCAUUAAUUUAUUAUGCAAAUUUAUGAAUAGUUCAAGUUAAGUUUGACUCAAACUUCAUGCUACAUGGUUUUAUUUUAAUAAUAUAUAUUUUCUUGAAUUAGAUUUAUGUAGUGUAAAAUCAACCGAUGUUUUAUAUUUUUUAUAUAUUAUUUUCAUUAAUAAGUAAAUCUUCAAGAUAGACAUAAUUGUGGUUAUAAAUAUUUAUUCUAUUAUAAAUAUAUCAUUUAUAGGCUCAACAUUAACAUAAGAGUAAAUACAAUGAGAAGUUAAGGAUGUGAAGAGUCACUAUAAUAAAUACAUGUUUUGUAAAACUGGCAUGUUAUAUCAUAAAGUUGUGUCAUAAGUUAUUGCUCAUAGUGACAUAAUAUAAAGUGAUGCAUUGUAUAAUCAUCACUUUUACAUAUUACCAUAAACUUUUUUUAAUAGUGUUCUUGAUAUAUUUUAAUAUUCAAUCAUGACAGUAAGUCAAAUUAAUUAUAUGUAUUUUAUUAUAUUGUAUUUGAUGAGAAGGCAUCUUAUAUCAAUUAUAUAUUAUACAAUUUUACUUUGUACAUUAUAUUUAAUAUGCCAUUGUUUAUGUAUAUAAACAGUCUUCAAUGAAGCAGAAUUAAAGUUGUGUAUAUGAUCACACGUUAUAAACAUGAUUGAAUAGUGAUCAAGAUUCAUUUAUAAUAUGACAUUCGAAGUUUCAAACUCACUAAAGCUUAUUGUAAAUUGAUUGAUACUUGUAAGAUUUUGGACUGAUAAAUCUUAAUGAUUCGGUCAUAUAAUUGAUAUUAUGUGGUGAAAAGAUUAGUUAUUCAUGUGGAAUAAAACAAGUUCCAAUGUCAAACCUCAAAUAUGCUCUUGAAGAAGCAAGAUUGUUAAAGAAUAUGUAAGGUUUGAAACGACCACCAUGAAAGUUGUGUGAUUCUAAUCCAUUCAUGAAGUGAAUGUGAUGAUAUAAUGACCAAUGUAAGGUCGCGAUCAUGUAUAUAACAACAAAGAAAAUUGUAAUGAUGUCACCAUGAUCAUUGUUUGGUUAUAAUCCAUUCCUUAAACUGAAUGUGAUGAUAUAAUAAUUGGUGUAAAGUUUGUAAUCAUGGUAAUUGAGAAAAUUGUUAUGAUGCUCAUGUAAUGAGAUCAACCAUGUUAAUAAUGUGAUGACUAUACGAUGAUCGUUAUAAAGGUCGUAAGAUAUAAGAUUGAUAAAUAUUAUACGACUCAACUACUUCUCAAUUGAUGGUAAGCAAAGAGAACAUUAUUUACAAAGAAAAAUUGAUUGUCACAUUUGAGACAUAUGCUCCUAAAGUAGCAAUAUCAUUAUAAGAGUCAUGGAAAAUGAAAUGCUUUUAUACUCAUGUGACCGAGUAAAUAAUGAAAAACUAUGAAGCUUGUUUUGGUCCUACUCCAUUCCCAAAAGUGAAUGUGAUUAUAUAUUAAUCAUUGUAUAUGUAAUGAUGGACCUAAUUGAGAAACUUGUAAUAAUGAGAUGGACCACCAAAAAUGGCAAACUAAGGAGUGAUUGCAUAAUGAGAUGGUUUUAACUUUGAAGUUAUAGUAUAUUCUCUCGUAUCAUACGUUUUGUAUUACAUACGAGCAAGUAAUACACAUACGAUCGUAAACCAGGAGUUUAUGGAUCAUAAUUAGUUAAUUAGUUGGCAUGACCGGUUAGACCACACCGAGUCAAUGAUGAUGUGAAACAUAAUGAAGAACUAGAAGAUUCUUCAAGAUAAUAAUUAGCAUGUAAUGUUUGCUCUCAAGGGAAAUUUGCAAAAUAAACAGGGGUGUGUAUACCUAAAUAUUAUGGAAGCGAUUAAAGGAUAUGCAUAUCCCAAAAUGAUACCAUUUAGUUUUUUUUAAAUCGAUGCAUCGUCUAAAUGGUUAUCAAAUCCACAACCUGAAGUUUGUGUGAUUAUGGCUUAGCUAAUGUGAUAGCAAGCAUAUUAAUCCGGAUUAGUAUAUUUAUUUGAUAAUCGUGAAUUUGAUUCCCAAGUUAUUAACGAUCAUUGGAAUAAGUGUUAUUGUGAUCAAUAAACGUCUACUAUUGGU
RNAcentral lists this long non-coding RNA (3030 nucleotides) under Helianthus annuus (common sunflower). RNAcentral's name for it is "hypothetical non coding rna". Lineage: Eukaryota; Viridiplantae; Streptophyta; Magnoliopsida; Asterales; Asteraceae. The record is from RNAcentral.